RNAcentral lists this ribosomal RNA (433 nucleotides) under uncultured bacterium. RNAcentral's name for it is "partial 16S ribosomal RNA". It matches the Rfam family "Bacterial small subunit ribosomal RNA", at positions 29 to 507 of the family's 1533-position model. The record is from RNAcentral.
AACGAACGCUGGCGGCAUGCCUAACACAUGCAAGUCGAACGAGACCUUCGGGUCUAGUGGCGCACGGGUGCGUAACGCGUGGGAACCUGCCCUUAGGUUCGGAAUAACUCCCCGAAAGGUGUGCUAAUACCGGAUAAUGUCUUCGGACCAAAGAUUUAUCGCCUUUGGAUGGGCCCGCGUUGGAUUAGCUAGUUGGUAGGGUAAAAGCCUACCAAGGCGACGAUGCAUAGCUGGUCUGAGAGGAUGAUCAGCCACACUGGGACUGAGACACGGCCCAGACUGCUACGGGAGGCAGCAGUGGAGAAUAUUGGACGAUGGGGGAAAGCCUGAUCCAGCAGUGCCGCGUGAGUGAUGAAGGCCUUAGGGUUGUAAAGCUCUUUUACCCGGGAUGAUAAUGACAGUACCGGGAGAAUAAGCACCGGCUAACUACGUG